UACGAGUGCUUCGAGCGUUAUCCGGAAUCAUUGGGCGUAAAGGGUGUGUAGGCGGUUGUGUUAGUCUUGUGUUAAAUUCUCCGGCUCAACCGGGGAGCUGCACGGGAAACGGCACGACUGGAGUAUGGAAGGGGUCUUCGGAACUCAUAGUGUAGCGGUGAAAUGCGUUGAUAUUAUGGGGAACACCAAAAGCGAAGGCAGAAGACUGGUCCAUUACUGACGCUGAAACACGAAAGCGUGGGUCGCGAAUGGG
This 253-nucleotide ribosomal RNA is filed under the name uncultured bacterium. RNAcentral describes it as "partial 16S ribosomal RNA". It matches the Rfam family "Bacterial small subunit ribosomal RNA", at positions 524 to 776 of the family's 1533-position model. The record is from RNAcentral.